RNAcentral lists this ribosomal RNA (252 nucleotides) under uncultured bacterium. RNAcentral describes it as "partial 16S ribosomal RNA". It matches the Rfam family "Bacterial small subunit ribosomal RNA", at positions 524 to 776 of the family's 1533-position model. The record is from RNAcentral.
UACGUAGGGUGCAAGCGUUAAUCGGAAUUACUGGGCGUAAAGCGCGCGUAGGUGGCUUCGUAAGUCCGUUGUGAAAGUCAAAGGCUCAACCUUUGAAAGCCGAUGGAUACUGCGGAGCUAGAGUACGGAAGAGGCGAGUGGAAUUCCUGGUGUAGCGGUGGAAUGCGCAGAUAUCAGGAGGAACACCAAUAGCGAAGGCAGCUCGCUGGGACGUACUGACACUAAGGCGCGAAAGCGUGGGGAGCGAACAGG